Molecule: ribosomal RNA, 227 nt
Filed under: uncultured bacterium
Lineage: Bacteria
Description: partial 16S ribosomal RNA
Rfam family: Bacterial small subunit ribosomal RNA
Source: RNAcentral
GAUCAUGGCUCAGGAUGAACGCUAGCUACAGGCUUAACACAUGCAAGUCGAGGGGCAGCAUGGUCUUAGCUUGCUAAGGCCGAUGGCGACCGGCGCACGGGUGAGUAACGCGUAUCCAACCUGCCGUCUACUCUUGGCCAGCCUUCUGAAAGGAAGAUUAAUCCAGGAUGGGAUCAUGAGUUCACAUGUCCGCAUGAUUAAAGGUAUUUUCCGGUAGACGAUGGGGA